RNAcentral lists this ribosomal RNA (532 nucleotides) under uncultured Ascomycota. RNAcentral describes it as "eukaryotic LSU rRNA". The stretch from base 170 to 323 matches the Rfam family "5.8S ribosomal RNA". Lineage: Eukaryota; Fungi; Ascomycota. The record is from RNAcentral.
CAUUAUAGAGUUUUAUAACUCCCAACCCUUUGUGAACUUACCUUUGUUGCCUCGGCGGGGCCUACCCGGUACCGACCCCUUUUGGGCGAAGUUACCCUGUAGCCCGCCGGUGGAUUUUCAAACUCUUGUUAUUUUAAUGUUAUCUGAGCGUCUUAUUUUAAUAAGUCAAAACUUUCAACAACGGAUCUCUUGGUUCUGGCAUCGAUGAAGAACGCAGCGAAAUGCGAUAAGUAAUGUGAAUUGCAGAAUUCAGUGAAUCAUCGAAUCUUUGAACGCACAUUGCGCCCAUUAGUAUUCUAGUGGGCAUGCCUGUUCGAGCGUCAUUUCAACCCUUAAGCCUAGCUUAGUGUUGGGAGUCUACUGGUGGUAACUUGUUACCUUGUAGUUCCUAAAAUCAAACGGCGGAUCUGCAGUAUCCUCUGAGCGUAGUAAAUUUUUAUCUCGCUUUUGUUAGGUGCUGUGGCUCUUGCCGCUAAACCCCCAAUUUUUAAUGGUUGACCUCGGAUCAGGUAGGAAUACCCGCUGAACUUAA